This is an RNA transcript of Lagenorhynchus albirostris (white-beaked dolphin), 2789 nucleotides long. It is a transcript of the gene named ciliary associated calcium binding coiled-coil 1, with no coding region annotated. The transcript has 8 exons. The record is from RefSeq and is a predicted model, not a curated record. NCBI's taxonomy places the organism in Eukaryota, Metazoa, Chordata, Mammalia, Artiodactyla, Delphinidae.
GACCGGAAGCCGCUGUGCAUGGUGCUCACUUCCCCAGCCCAGCGACCCCGGCCCCGCCCCGGUUGCCCCGGCGACGAGGGGCCGUGCGGCGGCUGGAUCAUGGCGGCGUCUGUGGGGACGACUCCCGGGGGGACGACCCCCGCGGGGAUGACUCCGGCGGGAACCACGCCCGAGUCGGAGAAAGAUACUGAAUUCCAGGAGCAUGAAGGGAUUCUGUGUCCAGAUUUUCUUUCAGUUGCCCAGAUCACCGAAAUGCUAGCAGAGGAUAUAGAUGGAGUUCAACAGAAACUGGAAAAGUUUCUGAAUUUCAGAAAUCUUCAAACCUGUUUAAAGGAAGCCAGUCUACUAGAUUAUUAUGUAUCUGGAUUUUUGUGGGCAAGAGGAAUGGACUUUUCUAUUAUUCAGUAUUCAAAAUUUAUGACUUUACUGGAUAUGUUACUUCAUAAUCUUAAAACACUGCAUAUGUCCAUAGAAGACAGCAUAAAAUGGCUCAGAGAAGUUAUGGCUGAAAUAGGACCAUCCCAUUCACAAAAAAAUGAGGAAUGGAAUAUCUUUGAUGUAAAACAAGCCAAUGCUAUUGUUGAUUACUUGAAAGUCAGCUUAUUUCAACACUACAAGCUGUAUGAGUUUCUGUUCUUCUCUGCCAGGGAAGAAAUUGUGAUAGGAACUGAGGGGACUCAGGUUCGAUCCCUGGUCGGGGAACUAAGGUCCCACAUGCUGUGGGGAAACUAAGCCCACGCACCACAACUAGAGAGAAGCCCACGCACCUCAAUGAAGAGCCCGCGCGUUGCAAUGAAAGAUACCACAUGCCUCAGUGAGGAAUGUAACAGGCAUGAAGAUCAGAGCACUCAACUGGGUGUGUCUAUAGAUCAUCUGAGAUGGGAAGGCACAGAUUACGAUUGGAAUGUUGCCUUUAAACAUGAAAUCAGAGCAAGAGGAACCGUUUAGAUGCAUCAGAUGUUUAAUGCCAUCAGUACCCUCAUCUCCGCUCUCUCCCCCAAGUCAUGGUGAGAUGGACACCGUAUAAGACCAAGAUAAACGAAAAGCUGCAAAUACAGGAAGAGGCCUUUAAUGCACGAACAGAAAAAUUGAAAAAGGCCUGAGGGCUCCAAACAAGGAGAGUGAUGCUAAACUUCACAGAAACAAACAAAACCAGCCAGAAUAAUAGACUCUCUAGAGCACCAGAUCGCCUUCAUUUAGCUGGGAGAGGAAAAGCAAGCCCCAAUUUUUAUUAUCCUAACUAAUUAGAAAAGUAUUGGCCCCAAUCUUGCUACCUCCUGUCCCAUAACAGCCUCUGAAUUUAUUACACUGUGUGCAAUAAGAACAUUUUGUAUAUAAGAGUUUGGAGAAUUAUAUAUAAAAAUACAAUGACUUUUACAAUACUCCUUUGACAUUUUGACUAGUAAAUGUUAAUCAUCUUCACAACUUUUUAAAAUAAAGAAAAAACAUAAUAAUUUUAUCCACACUGACCCAAAUGAACUGCCACGUUGCUGAAGCUUUAUGAACAUAGACCACCACCACACUGCUGAGGAUAAAACUUGCUAAACAAUAGCAAUUCAAAUGCAUAUACUAGGGGUUUUUUUCCUCCUUAAAUCAGUUGGUUUUCUUAUUUAAAUGUUUCAGUGUGAAACCAAUUUUAUGAAAUUAUAUAAUGCAGUUUGAAGCACUUUAUUCUGUACUGUAUUUGUUAUUUCUAAUCUUGUUACUCUCCCAGGAGAAUACAUGACCUAUAUAAAAAGAAGCAAUGUAUAAAUGGUUAUUAAAGACCAACCUAUACAUAGAUUGUAAAAAUCUUAAAUACAAAUCAAACUCACAGAGCUCUUAAAAUUAACCAUUAUAUUGCAGUAGAAUGAUUGAAAACAUCUCAAGCCUUUAAAUACCUUUAUUAAAAUAUAAUUUCAAAAGAAAAUAUCCAUUUGCUGACUGAUUGUCCCUAGUUGGACAAACUAAAUUAACUACUACCUUGGCCCUUUCCCAAUUUCUGAGACUUCUGAGUAUUGUAGAGUGUAGAGCCUUGCUAGGAGGGCACCAUUCUUCCAAGAAGUUUCCAGUUUAUACUGGAACCAGAUGUAUUUGCAUCUGGGUGGCACUUGGUCAAAUAUGUUCUGUCUGUGCUCUGGCCUUGUCCUAUAACCUUACCCACUUACUCUAUCUGUACCGAAGGGAUUUGCCCAAAAUGUAUUCAUCUGGGGCCGAGACAGAUCUGGCAGCGUGUGAUAUUUUUUUAACUACACUGAUCAUCAAAGUAAGAGAAGUCCUUAAGAUGAAACCGUGUUUACUGUUCAUGAAGUUCCGAGUCUGGAAAGCCGGGAGAUGCGCCGAUAUGUUUCUUCCUUGAGCUGUCCUUCCUAACUGAAAAUGCUGACGGCCAUAGGAGAUCACUAGGAGGGCUCACAAGUCUUGAUUUCGGCAGGCAGUCUUGUUCCAGAGAAAAUAGAGGCGAAACCAGAGAACCCACAAAUAGGGAAUAAAGGAGCUUCUCGAAAUCACCAAACACAGCUUCAAAUGCAAUCGUUGGCACAGAGUGGACCUCCAUUUCCAAUAAAGAAUUCUUAUUUUGAGCAAGGGUACCAAGAGUUUAAAACUGAAUAACAAAUAGCAGUAAGGUCCCUAAAAGCUGCACAAAGACAAUAUCCUAUAAGCGUGCCGAAAGCCUGCCUCUGGAGUAAGACUUCCAGGUAGCGUCACCUGACUUGUGUGUGACUUUGGACAGGCUGCUCACCCUCUACUUGCUCAUCUAUUAAAUGAGGAUAAUACUUAUUUUUGAGGUAGUCAUGAGAACUCAAUAA